Molecule: ribosomal RNA, 1422 nt
Filed under: metagenome
Description: bacterial LSU rRNA
Rfam family: Bacterial large subunit ribosomal RNA
Source: RNAcentral
GGUGUAGGCGUGCCCCUUAGGCAAAUCCGGGGGGCUGAGCUGAGGCGUGAUGACGAGGAACCACGGUUCCGAAGUGAUUGAUACCAAGCUUCCAGGAAAAGCCACUAAGCUUCAGUCUAGAGUUGACCGUACCGCAAACCGACACAGGUGGGCAGGAUGAAAAUUCUAAGGCGCUUGAGAGAACUCAGGAGAAGGAACUCGGCAAAUUAACACCGUAACUUCGGGAGAAGGUGUGCCCCGGUAGCGUGUAGAGACUUGCUCUCGAAGCGCGAUGGGGUUGCAGUGAAAUGGUGGCUGCGACUGUUUAAUAAAAACACAGCACUCUGCAAACACGAAAGUGGACGUAUAGGGUGUGACGCCUGCCCGGUGCCGGAAGGUUAAGUGAUGGGGUGCAAGCUCUUGAUCGAAGCCCCGGUAAACGGCGGCCGUAACAAUAACGGUCCUAAGGUAGCGAAAUUCCUUGUCGGGUAAGUUCCGACCUGCACGAAUGGCGUAACGAUGGCCACACUGUCUCCUCCUGGGACUCAGCGAAGUUGAAAUGUUUGUGAAGAUGCAAUCUACCCGCGGCUAGACGGAAAGACCCCAUGAACCUUUACUGUAGCUUUGCAUUGGACUUUGAACCGGUUUGUGUAGGAUAGGUGGGAGACUGUGAAGCCGGGACGCUAGUUUCGGUGGAGUCAACCUUGAAAUACCACCCUGAUUUGUUUGAGGUUCUAACCUUGGUCCGUGAAUCCGGAUCGGGGACCGUGCAUGGUAGGCAGUUUGACUGGGGCGGUCUCCUCCCAAAAGGUAACGGAGGAGUACGAAGGUACGCUUAGGUCGGUCGGACAUCGCCCACAAAGUGCAAUGGCAAAAGCGUGCUUGACUGCGAGACCCACAAGUCGAGCAGGUACGAAAGUAGGUCAUAGUGAUCCGGUGGUUCUGUAUGGAAGGGCCAUCGCUCAACGGAUAAAAGGUACUCUGGGGAUAACAGGCUAAUUCCUCCCAAGAGUUCAUAUCGACGGGGGAGUUUGGCACCUCGAUGUCCGCUCAUCACAUCCUGGGGCUGUAGUCGGUCCCAAGGGUAUGGCUGUUCGCCAUUUAAAGUGGUACGCGAGCUGGGUUUAAAACGUCGUGAGACAGUUUGGUCCCUAUCUGCCGUGGGCGCUGGAAAUUUGAAGGGGGCUGCUCCUAGUACGAGAGGACCGGAGUGGACGAACCUCUGGUGUACCGGUUAUGACGCCAGUCGUAUCGCCGGGUAGCUAAGUUCGGAAGAGAUAAACGCUGAAAGCAUCUAAGCGUGAAACUCGCCUUAAGAUAAGAUUUCCCGGAGUCUUGAACUCCCUGAAGGGUCGUCGAAGACCACGACGUUGAUAGGUCAGGUGUGGAAGCGCAGCAAUGCGUUAAGCUAACUGAUACUAAUUGCCCGUGUGGCUUGAUCCU